AAAACAACAGUUUGAAAAUGUUUGAUCAAAUACAGGCGACAUGUAGAGGCAUGACAUGAUACAGGUGUUUCUCCCAUUGCCUGUACCCAAAAACCCAUAGACUUCUGUAAACAGCUAUUAAUCACUCAUUCUAUUCGUCAGAAUUCCCUUCCUUGCUCGGAUUCCUUUUUUAACAUGUUCUUGCUUAUCCUCAUUUAUUUUUUAAAAGAUGUUUUUUCUUUUAGUUAUUCCAGUUAUAAACCAACCAAUCAGAUGCCUCAAUUAAAGUAUGUAGUUUAAUGGCAGAUGUUUGAAACAUUUGACAGAUUUGGUGCAGCCCGCUUUCAGGUAGAAGGGUGUGGACUUCCAACGAGCUCACCCCUGACUGACGAGAGUGGUUGCCAUAGAGAUAUGGACUUGGACCAAUCACUGUCUAUUGACGUCGUCUGGUUCCAACAUGGUGGUGUCCAUAUCGUAUUAAAAGGCAACUGAAUGGACUUUGAUUGGAGCUGGAGUUUUUCAUUGUAGACACUCACCAAGGAGAUAUCCCGAUGUCCAGAGCCCAGCACCUUCAGAACAACCUUGACUUCCUGGAAGGAUGUGUAACCCACAUCCUCGUCCUCCUCA
Non-coding RNA from Oryzias latipes (Japanese medaka), 606 nucleotides. The record is from RefSeq and is a predicted model, not a curated record. NCBI's taxonomy places the organism in Eukaryota, Metazoa, Chordata, Actinopteri, Beloniformes, Adrianichthyidae.